This 521-nucleotide ribosomal RNA is filed under the name uncultured bacterium. Its description in RNAcentral is "bacterial SSU rRNA". It matches the Rfam family "Bacterial small subunit ribosomal RNA", at positions 24 to 518 of the family's 1533-position model. The record is from RNAcentral.
UCAGGACGAACGCUGGCGGCGUGCCUAAUACAUGCAAGUCGAACGGUCUUUCUAUGGAAGCUUGCUUCCACUGAGAAGAUAGUGGCGAACGGGUGAGUAACACGUGGGUAACCUGCCCAUAAGAGGGGGAUAACAUCCGGAAACGGGUGCUAAUACCGCAUAGUUUUCUUGAUCGCAUGAUCGGGAAAGGAAAGACGGCCUUUGUGCUGUCGCUUAUGGAUGGACCCGCGGCGUAUUAGUUAGUUGGUGAGGUAACGGCUCACCAAGACGAUGAUACGUAGCCGACCUGAGAGGGUGAUCGGCCACAUUGGGACUGAGACACGGCCCAAACUCCUACGGGAGGCAGCAGUAGGGAAUCUUCCGCAAUGGACGAAAGUCUGACGGAGCAACGCCGCGUGAGUGAAGAAAGGUUUUCGGAUCGUAAAACUCUGUUGUCAGAGAAGAACAAGUUGGAGAGUAACUGCUCCAGCCUUGACGGUAUCUGACCAGAAAGCCACGGCUAACUACGUGCCAGCAGCGGC